AGGGCAGCAAUAUAAUUCCUGCCUGCUAUUCCAAAGCGGAAGCUGAUGUGAUGAAACAGCUUGCCAGUGUAAUUUUAUGUCAAUAUAAAUCCAUCAGAUUUUCUGGCUGUUUCGAUGAAAACUACACCAUCAGAAAAGUGAAGGCAUAACAUCAGGCAAUAUUGUUUUGAAUCUCCAGCUGCUGAGAUGGAGAGACAUGUGAGCAAGUGGGCCAUUGCAAAGGAAAGAAGGAAAAGCGGCACAAUAUUCAGAAAUAAACCAAAUGAAGGAUGCUUUUUGCAAUAAAGCAUGCUUGCAUUUCUAUUCCAUCUUGUGUUGUUGGACUUGAUACUUUAACUUCAAGACUGUAGUCCCACAGACUAAUGGGCAAUGUUUGUUGUAAUAGUGAAGAAGAAUCUUGUGGUACCUUAAAUAGAUCAGCAGAUCUGUGUGUUUACGAAUGGAAGCAUAAUCACAUUGAAGGCACCUCUUCUGCAUCAUCAGUUUGUGAGACAGGAGGCGGUUGUUGCUUGGGGGCUGUGUGUGUGGUGUUGAUCUCUGGACUGGACAGUUUGAGUAAUUGCUUCACAUGAAACAUCCCGAAGUGAUUUAACAGUGAAAACAUCAACAACAAAACCUAUAUGAAUAUAAUUUCCAGGCAAAUGUAUAUAAAGACUGGAAUAGGAAUCUUCACUUAAAAGGCUGGUUGGAAGAAGAAGAUCUGAAAAGACAAUAAAGAUGGCACCUGUCUGAUACUUAAUGGGAGGGAGUUCCAAAGGACUGUGUUUCGCCAAUUUCCUGUUCACAAUGAGUAUCUACAGGGAACCCAAGAAAAUGGCUAACAGGAAGACACCUGCAUCCUUGUUUGUUUUCCUGGAACCAUUGCACAAUAUUAAGACAGCCCCACCCCAAACAAUGCCACUGGAAGUUGGUUGUCUCACUCUGCUGUAUCUCAGAGCCGAUGCUGGUAAUACAUGGAUCUUCAAAAUAGCACUUGAAUUAUGGUGUUUCAUGUUCAUCAUAACAACCACAGUAAAUUAAAAAUGGAUGCCGCAACACACGUUGGAAUGUGGAAAACAAACAGGGGUCAAAAUCAGCUGACCCAAGGGCAAUGGUGAACUCUGCUUUGGAUUAAGAUCGACUUAAGAUCAGUUUCAAGACUAGCACACAGAACACUGAGGCAGCAGCAGAUGGAUAAAAUCUGGUUCACUACAACUUUGAGUAGACAUACCCAAUCCAUCAUUUUAAUAAUUAGACAUUGGUAGAUGAGAAAUAUGGCUUGCCUAAGACUACUCAGGAAGUUUGUUGAAGAGAUGAGAUUGGAACCAUGGACAUUCUGUUAACUACUUUAGCUGUCCAGUUGUUGUGAGCUUCCUAAAUCUCUAAAGUCAAAGCAAGAGGAAAUAUUGAUCACUUGCAGCCCAAUCCUAUGCAUAAUUAUUUGAAGUAAGCUUCAUUGAGUUCAGCGGGCAUACUGCCAUACAAGUAUAUACAGGUUGUGUGUUUGAGGCUUGGGAAAACUUAAUUUUUCUACUCGUUACCAUAAGCUACUUGUGUGCAACAACAAAAUCCAGUUUUCAAAAUGUCAGCUUUUUUUUUUUAAAAGGAAGUGAUUAUAUCUAAGGACAAAAUCAUGUCACUGAAUUAAAAGGCUACACCAUUAACUUCUACUUUUAGACUUUUCCAUGAAAUGAGAUUCUGUCUGCAACAAUGAAAAACACACACACCCUAACUCAAGACCAUGUGGUGGCUGCUAUUUUUGGUGUGACACUCUUUUGAACUCAGAACUGAUGUCAAUUGCCUGCUUUUUCUUUACCUUAAGAAGAAGAUGGAGAGAGAAUGAGAGAAAGCCAGUUGGGAUGGACAGAAGAUUUUUUUUUUUUUAGGAAGAAAUUCUGGAUUUGGAAUACUGUGAUAAAAAUGAAAAAACAGCAAAAAAAAAAGGUUCACAUUUAUUUAACAUAAAGCAGAUAACCAAGUGACAUAAGAAGAGUCCUGCUGGAUGAAAACGAAAGACCCAUCUAGCCCAGCAACCUGUUCCCGUUGGUGGCCAACCAGAAGCUCCUAGGAAACCCACAAGCAGGGCAUGAAGUCUGCUCGCCUGUCAAGGAGAUGUGGAAAUGUGCUGGCAUUCCACCUGAAGAAAUCAUUAUGAGUGAGAAAAUGCUCAAGUCCUUUUUUCAAAGUGGAUGCUGAAAGAGACGCUUUCCUUCUUUGACUCCAGGGGAUGCUGAUAGCUGCCCCAGCAGACAGGUACUGUAGGGUCAGAAGCUACCAUUGGUAUGUGUGUAUGUGUGUACAUGCAUUUCUGCACCCUAAGGAUUUUAUUGGAAGGCAGGUAAGUGGAUAAAAAUAUUAAUAAUGAUAUACUGCACAAAAGGAAGAAAUUGACAACAAAGGAAAAACAACCUGCAAGAAAUGAAUUCUGGGCAGCACAAUGUUUGGCAGAAGUGAUUUUAAUAUCUGACAGGCUGAGUUCCUUAAUUUUUGCUAUUGAUAUUGACAGGAAGCUUCAUAUGGUUUUAGAGAUUUGUAUCUAUUAAGACAUGCCUCGGUGUUCCUACAACAUGGGAACAAGUUUGCUGAAGAUCACUGUUCUUCUUUCCCUGUGAUAAAAAUUGAUAUGAACUGUUUUAAACUGCUAGAAGAUAAUUACUCUGAACACUCAAUAAGGAAAGCUGUAUCUUUAGAGCCUUCCUUUAUCUUUAAAAAAAGAUCCACUCCCCCCCUCUUUUGUUUCUUUGAUUACUUGGAGCUUUGUAAUCAAACUAAGCUUAGUUUCAGGACCCUUGGGGCAGUAUCUCUUAGUUCCCUGUCAAGCUGCGUUGCAAAACAAUCAAUCUUGCUCUUGCACUCUCUUGACGGAAGUGCCAGGACACGAAGAGUGUAAUGCUUUGCUCUUGCCGUGAAGCCUCAAUGACAAAAGUUUUUAUAAGAAGCUGACUGUAUUUAGGGUUAUGAAUAUGCAAUGACUCUCAUUAGUAUUGAAGCACAGGAGCAGGGGCUGACAUCCCCUCCCCGCCACUUUGAGCUGCUGCAGAAUUGUCUAAUGAAUUGUCUUGCUCUUUCACUUGCACAGGCUUUUUCUGUUGUGGCUCCCAGUUCCAAGGGGAGUUGCCCAGUUUGAGAAUGCUAUUGACUGCAGAAAUUAAUUGCCAAGAGCUGCUCUGGAUUUUGUUAAACAAUCUUGAGACAGUGUUCAAAUUGUCAAAACAGAAAGUCAUUCAACUCUACAUGAGAUAAAAUCAACAUGAGGGAGGGGACCUAUGUGCCAGUUAUUCUGGACACACACUCUGUUCAUAUGUACAGUACUGAAUGUUGCAUGUGUAUCUGCAAUACACACACAUGCAUUCCAAGAUACAAGACUGACACUGGGUCAAAUCAAGUCACAGGUAUCUCACAUUCCAUUGGUUUGGCACUUUGUCUUCUCAGUAGAACAAAGAGAGGUGACUGAAGGAUCUCAGAAUGACAGCUAUUCACACAACACAAAGCUCACUCUCACUCUCUCCCUGCUCUUUCUGUCUGAGCCCCCACCAAACAUUUUGUGGUUCAUAAAUACACAAUCUUCUAUGAAUCUGAUGCUGAUAAUAAUGUUUCCAACAACUGAUUAAGGAACUGAUGUGUAGUAUAUGAGAAGCUGCAAAACAUGCUUGGCUCCAUGCCUCAGCUAGUUAAAUUAAAAGCUUCUGUCCUUGUUGUAGUCCACUCAUUUAUUUCAAAAAACAAAGCAAAGGGAGUUUGGUGCUCCCCACAGGUUGUGAUGAUAGGAAUGAAUGAAAACUGAUAAGCUGUUCUAAAGAGGCAUAAGUAGCAGACUGAAGAAAUGUACAUAUAGAAUGAAGAGCCUUCCUUUUCAGGGUGGUGGUGGUUUCGUGUACUUCUUAAUUUAUUUAAUUUGGAAGGAGUGCAGCUGCACAGAAAAGGCAAAGAGUUGUUACCUUUUUAUCUGGGGGGGGCCAGAGCAAUAUCUUUGCUUACCCUUUGACCCACCUCCACCAGUGUCCAGUUUCAUGUUUCCAUCUUCUGUGGAACCUUCCCUAUAUACAAGAAUGCAGUUUAAGAAUAAAUGCAGUUCUGACAAAAGUGACGCAAGUAUCAUACAUCAAACACUUGUUACCUCUCUUGGCCUUAGUGAUUGCACAUGACUAAGAACAAGUCAGUGAUAAAAUCUGAAGAAAGAUGAAACCAAUCUUGGCCUUUUUAAAGACCAUCAAUCAUUCUGUGCAACCAUGAUAUUAUUAGCUCAAGUAAGUUUUGUUCUCCUAUUUAAUGGACAUCAUAAACCCCCCAUCCUCUUCCUAUCCUGAGACCAAUGCUACCAUGGGAAAUUAUUUUUAUGGGCAAUAUCUUAGUAGGGAACCAAUCAGAUCUAAUAACAUAACAAGCUACUGAAUUAUUCAACAUUUUCCCUAAAUUUGCAUUCUAGUUCUUUGCUGUCAACCCAUACUGCUAAAAAUAUGUGGAUUUUAGUUUUUUUAAAAAAACACAGCCCACAAUAUUAUAUGAAGAAGUCAAUGUCAUAUGGGGAUUUUUCAUAAUCUGUACAUCUAGUUAUCAUUCUACUGAUGUCUACCACAUGUGAAUCACCACGUAAGAAUAUUUUGUUCCUGCUUUUUUGCUUUUCAUAAUUACAUUGCCACUAAAUCCUAACCACUCCCAGCUGUGAAAACAGCAGGCCCAAGGACAGCAGAAGUGAAACAAUUGUUUUGGAAACAUAAAAUGUUCAAAUGUACUAAGCAAAUGAUAACUGGUAUAUCUCAUAAAUGUUGCUAUGAACUCGAAUUGUAUUAUAUGAAAAUAUUUCUGUUUUAAUGGCAAAUCUGGGUAGACAUGAUUUGGGGCCUGUAAUUAGCAUAUAAAUUCCAGAGCUUGUGACUGCUGUGAAAACACACAAUAUUUAUGGAACGAUUAUCUAAAUUUAAUUCAGUGUUUUCUGCUUUCAGUGACUACUGUAAAAUCUGAUUUAAUAAAGAGAAAAUGGUUAGGUCAUGGAUUUCUAAUAUUACACCAUCAGCUCAUUCCACCUGCUACUAAUUUCAAUCAAUAUUUUGUUACGACUGCAAAGUUUCUUCACUGGCAUAAAAAGUAGAAAUAUAUUUCUGUAUAUAUUUCUGUAAAAAUAAUGUUUCCAGCAACUGAUUAAGGUAUCGAUGUGUAGUAUAUGAGAAACUGCAAAACAUGCUUGGCUCCAUACCUCAGCUAGUUAAAUUAAAAGCUUCUGUCCUUG
Long non-coding RNA from Rhineura floridana, 5206 nucleotides. RefSeq lists it as uncharacterized. The transcript has 13 exons. Lineage: Eukaryota; Metazoa; Chordata; Lepidosauria; Squamata; Rhineuridae. The record is from RefSeq and is a predicted model, not a curated record.